Varanus komodoensis (Komodo dragon) is the source of this 457-nucleotide long non-coding RNA. RefSeq lists it as uncharacterized. The record is from RefSeq and is a predicted model, not a curated record. The transcript is spliced from 2 exons. Lineage: Eukaryota; Metazoa; Chordata; Lepidosauria; Squamata; Varanidae.
AGAGGAGACUCAGAGGGGAUCUGUUGGCAACAUGCAGAUACCAGAACUCAGAGAGAUCAUCUCGUGAAACCGACUGAGUGUGGGAGAAAGAUUUACGACAGGUGAAAUGGAACACUUCUUCACCCAGUGCAGGGUUAAAUGACAGAAUUCACUUCUUUAAGUUGCAGAAAAUUUUAUUAGGUUACCAAAAACAGUAAAAAAGAGAUUAAACGAAGAAAACCAAGGGAUGGAACAGGCCCUGCCCAAGUCUAAGCACCACCAGCAGGAACUGUCCCUACGCGCUCUUCGAGAUGCGAAAUCAGAAUCAUGAUUCCACGUGAUCUACGCCGGCAGGAAAGAAGUGCUUUUUCGGGCCGGUAAAUUUCCGUGAUGGGGUCACGCGUGUGACUCCCGGGCAUCCCAUUUUACAGGGGUGUGUGUCAGCCGUUGUCUGUGCAAUACAGGUGUUGUUGUGGCA